This 870-nucleotide ribosomal RNA is filed under the name Helvella submacropus. Its description in RNAcentral is "eukaryotic LSU rRNA". It matches the Rfam family "Eukaryotic large subunit ribosomal RNA", at positions 44 to 927 of the family's 3401-position model. Lineage: Eukaryota; Fungi; Ascomycota; Pezizomycetes; Pezizales; Helvellaceae. The record is from RNAcentral.
UAAUAGCGGAGAAAAGAAACCAACAGGGAUUGCCCCAGUAACGGCGAGUGAAGCGGCAGCAGCUCAAAUUUGAAAUCUGGGGUCCCCGACCUCCGAGUUGUAAUUUGGAGAGGCAUCUUCGGGGGGGAGCGCCGGCCCAUGUUCCUUGGGACAGGACGUCACAGAGGGUGAGAAUCCCGUGCCUGGCCGGCUGCCUCCUCUCGGGUGGAGGGCCUUCGACGAGUCGAGUUGUUUGGGAAUGCAGCUCCAAGUGGGUGGUAAAUUUCAUCUAAAGCUAAAUACCGGCGGGAGACCGAUAGCGCACAAGUAGAGUGAUCGAAAGAUGAAAAGCACUUUGAAAAUAGAGUCAAAAAGUACGUGAAAUUGUUGAAAGGGAAGCGCUUGAGACCAGACUCGGGCCCGGGCAAACAUCGCGCCCCUCGGGGCCGUGCAAUUGUCCGGGCCUGGGCCAGCAUCAGUUGGCGUGGCGGGACAAAGGCGCGGGGAAUGUGGCUCCCCUCGGGGAGUGUUAUCAGGCCCGCGCUCAAUGCCGCCGACGUCGACUGAGGACCGCGCCUCGGCUAGGAUGCUGGCUUAAUGGCCUUCAGCGACCCGUCUUGAAACACGGACCAAGGAGUCUAACAUCUAUGCGAGUGUUUGGGCGACAAACCCUUGCGCGGAAUGAAAGUGAGCGGAGGUGGGAACCCCCCAGCGGGGCGCACCAUCGACCGAUCCUGAUGUCUUCGGAUGGAUUUGAGUAGGAGCAUAGCUGUUGGGACCCGAAAGAUGGUGAACUAUGCCUGAAUAGGGUGAAGCCAGAGGAAACUCUGGUGGAGGCUCGCAGCGGUUCUGACGUGCAAAUCGAUCGUCAAAUUUGGGUAUAGGGGCGAA